UACGGCCACAUCAAGUUUAUACAUCGCUUCCCGUACAAUCAUCGAAGUUAAGCUUCGUCGGUCCUGGUCAGUAAUUAGAUGAGUGACCAUUUGGGAAUAGAAUGUACCGUAA
Non-coding RNA from Acanthosepion pharaonis, 112 nucleotides. NCBI's taxonomy places the organism in Eukaryota, Metazoa, Mollusca, Cephalopoda, Sepiida, Sepiidae. The record is from the annotation of a GenBank genome assembly.